UCCAAGGACUGAAUUGAUUUUGGACCUAAACCACAGGGUAGUAACCAGUAUUUAGCCCUAAGUUUUAUCUCUUCCACCGUUUUGCCUUUCACUUUUUUUUUUGGCUUUUCUUUCCUAUCAAGAAACUUAUCUGGGAAUGGUAUAUAGCUUUAUUUCUUUUCUUUGAGACCAGGGAUUGAAGAGAGAACAAGGAGAAGAAUUUAGACAUAUGGGUUGUGAAAGAGGGUGCAAACUAAGUUUGAUUCUAGAUUGAGUAUUAAGAAGCUCGGGUACUGAGUCAAGGGUGAGGGUUUCAAGUUUCUGUUAGUUGUAAAAACAGUAGGUAUAUGAAUUGUGAAUUUGUUGGUUUUAUUGUGCUGCAAUUGUUUAUGGUUCAUGAUUCAAGAUUGCAAUAUCCAAAAGGCAACAAAUUGGAAAAUUGUAGUAUUGAUAUGGUUGAGAAACUGUGGAUACCCUGUGUACUCAUUUUAAUCAUGUAAUUUUUUUGACUCUUUGAGUGGUAUAUAUUUCAGGUGGUUUUGGCUGGCCAUUUCGUCCACAUGUUGAGGGCAUUCUUCGUGAUAAAGGAAUGUUGAUGAGUUCUCCUCUAGUAUUAGCAUCUGCUGUUAGAAACAAAAGCAAGGGAAGCAGUGAUCUUGGCCAAUAAAGAUUCUCUACUUGAUUUGAUUUUUAUUAAUUCUGUUGGUUACUUGAUCAUCUACAUCCAAUAGUCCACUUUCAUGUCUGAACUCGGAACCCAAGUCCCCAUCUACUUUUGGUAAGGCUCUCUUCCUUUAAGCCAAUACAUAUAAAUGAAAUGGUUGAUUAGAGCACAGUUAUGUAAUGCAUGUGUACCUGGCUGGUUUGUGUAAUGUGCGUGCAGAUUAGUAGUUUAUUGUCAACUUAGUUCUUUGCU
Rosa chinensis is the source of this 895-nucleotide long non-coding RNA. RefSeq lists it as uncharacterized. The transcript has 3 exons. The record is from RefSeq and is a predicted model, not a curated record. NCBI's taxonomy places the organism in Eukaryota, Viridiplantae, Streptophyta, Magnoliopsida, Rosales, Rosaceae.